UCCGCCUGUUUAUCAAAAACAUCGCCUUUUGUAUUUCAACAAAUAAGAGGUCCCGCCUGCCCUGUGACGAUAUGUUUAACGGCCGCGGUAUUUUAACCGUGCAAAGGUAGCGUAAUCACUUGUCUUUUAAAUGAAGACCCGUAUGAAUGGCAUCACGAGGGUUUUACUGUCUCCUUUUUCCAGUCAAUGAAAUUGAUCUCCCCGUGCAGAAGCGGGGAUAACAACAUAAGACGAGAAGACCGUGUGAAGAUUAAAGAUGAAAAGCAGACCAAACUAAGCACCCCAAACAAAAGAACUAAAGCACUGGACCCUGCCCUAAUGUCUUCGGUUGGGGCGACCACGGAGAAACAAAAAACCCCCACGUGGACUAGGAGUACAUUUUUCCUCUUCCCUCUCCUACAACCUAGAGCAACCCCUCAAAGUAACAAAACCUUUGACCAAACAUGAUCCGGCCACGCCGAUUAACGAACCAAGUUACUCCAGGGAUAACAGCGCUAUCCCCUUUUAGAGCCCAUAUCGACAAUUUUGGUUUACGACCUCGAUGUUGGAUCAGGACAUCCUAAUGGUGCAGCCGCUAUUAAGGGUUCGUUUCCAAACGGAC
RNAcentral lists this ribosomal RNA (601 nucleotides) under Pseudambassis lala (highfin glassy perchlet). RNAcentral's name for it is "partial large subunit ribosomal RNA". It matches the Rfam family "Bacterial large subunit ribosomal RNA", at positions 1795 to 2589 of the family's 2925-position model. Lineage: Eukaryota; Metazoa; Chordata; Actinopteri; Ambassidae. The record is from RNAcentral.